Unclassified non-coding RNA from Meriones unguiculatus (Mongolian gerbil), 297 nucleotides. Its record names the gene 7SK. It matches the Rfam family "7SK RNA". From Rfam's summary of the family: 7SK was discovered as an abundant small nuclear RNA in the mid-70s but a possible function has only recently been suggested. Two independent studies have found that 7SK RNA binds the CDK9/cyclin T complex (known as elongation factor P-TEFb). The record is from Ensembl. Lineage: Eukaryota; Metazoa; Chordata; Mammalia; Rodentia; Muridae.
GGAUAUGAGGGUGAUCUGGCUGUGUGCGACAUAGGUCACCCUAUUGAUCACCAGGGUUGAUUCAGCUAGUCUGGUUGGCUAGGUGGGUGUCCCCUUCCUCCCUCACCCCUCCAUGUGCAUCUCUCCUGAAGCUGUGCACUCAGUUGAAGAGGAUGAUCUUCCCUGAAUAGAGGAGACCAAAGAAUUAAAAAUUAGUGUUUUUUUUGGGGGGUGGGGAGGGAGGUAUUGGUUUUAAGUUUAAAGCAUAAGCCUGAACAAAGGCCAGCCAGGUGGAGACAUGUCCAGCCACCUGAAGGG